Molecule: long non-coding RNA, 909 nt
Filed under: Volvox carteri
Lineage: Eukaryota; Viridiplantae; Chlorophyta; Chlorophyceae; Chlamydomonadales; Volvocaceae
Description: long non-coding RNA (VCAR_LNC001648)
Source: RNAcentral
AAAAAGACAGACAGACAGACAGACAGAGACAGACAGACAGACAGAGACAGGCAGACAGACAGACAGACAGACAGACAGACAGACGUCCUUGGUGGAGUCCCAUGGUGGAGUACUCCUCAGGCUACAUCAACGCUUGUGGCACCAGCUCGAUUUCUUCUCUCUCUCUGUCUCUUCUCUCUCUUCUCUCUUUCUGUCUGUGUGUGUAAACACUCAUGUGGUACACACACACGCCCCCCAUGUACACACAAGCAGGCGAUGUUGGGGUAACAAUAAAACACACAACCACCCACACACAACCUCACACGCACACACAUGACUGUUGGGGCACAUGGUAGUGUUGGGGUAACAUGAAACACACGCAAUCACAGUCCUGAUGGGGCACAUGAUGGGGUUGGGGUAACAUGAAAACAUGCACACACACGGCCACAGAACUAUUCGGGUAUAUGUUGGUGUUGGGGUAACAUAAGACACAGAGACACGCAGACAGACAGAGACAGAGAGACACAAACUCACACACACAGAGUCACACAGAGUCACACAGAGUCACACACACACACAGUCACACACAGAGGCACAGAGACACACAUACAUAAACAGAGACACACACAGUCAAACGCACACAAAGACAGACACACACAGUCAAACACACACUAAGACAGAGACACAUACAUACACACAAAGACAGAGACACACACACACACACAUACACACAUACACACAUACACACAUACACACAUACACACAUACACACAUACACACAUACACACAUACACACAUACACACAUACACACAUACACACAUACACACAUACACACAUACACACAUACACACAUACACACAGACAUACUCACACACAUAAACCUGCCUGUCAUGCAUUAUUCUUCUACAUCAUAUCCUGUCAGCCAAACA